GACGAACGCUGGCGGCGUGCCUAAUACAUGCAAGUCGAACGCACUCUCGUUUAGAUUGAAGGAGCUUGCUCCUGAUUGAUAAACAUUUGAGUGAGUGGCGGACGGGUGAGUAACACGUGGGUAACCUGCCCUAAAGUGGGGGAUAACAUUUGGAAACAGAUGCUAAUACCGCAUAAAACCUAACACCGCAUGGUGUAGGGUUGAAAGAUGGUUUCGGCUAUCACUUUAGGAUGGACCCGCGGUGCAUUAGUUAGUUGGUGAGGUAAAGGCUCACCAAGACCGUGAUGCAUAGCCGACCUGAGAGGGUAAUCGGCCACACUGGGACUGAGACACGGCCCAGACUCCUACGGGAGGCAGCAGUAGGGAAUCUUCCACAAUGGACGAAAGUCUGAUGGAGCAACGCCGCGUGAGUGAAGAAGGUUUCGGUAUCGUAAAACUCUGUUGUUGGUAGAAGAAUGUAUCUGAUAGUAACUGAUCAGGUAGUG
This 485-nucleotide ribosomal RNA is filed under the name uncultured bacterium. RNAcentral's name for it is "bacterial SSU rRNA". It matches the Rfam family "Bacterial small subunit ribosomal RNA", at positions 28 to 492 of the family's 1533-position model. The record is from RNAcentral.